UCAGGAUGAACGCUAGCGACAGGCUUAACACGUGCAAGUCGAGGGGCAGACAUAAAAGUAGCAAUACUUGGUGGCGACCGGCGCACGGGUGAGUAACGCGUAUGCAACCUACCUAUCAGAGGGGAAUAACCCGGCGAAAGUCGGACUAAUACCGCAUAAAACAGGGGCACCGCAUGGUGAUAUUUGUUAAAGAAAUUCGCUGAUAGAUGGGCAUGCGUUCCAUUAGGUAGUUGGUGAGGUAACGGCUCACCAAGCCGACGAUGGAUAGGGGAACUGAGAGGUUGGUCCCCCACACUGGUACUGAGACACGGACCAGACUCCUACGGGAGGCAGCAGUGAGGAAUAUUGGUCAAUGGGCGAGAGCCUGAACCAGCCAAGUCGCGUGAAGGAAGAAGGAUCUAUGGUUCGUAAACUUCUUUUGCAGGGGAAUAAAGUGCAGGACGUGUCCUGUUUUGUAUGUACCCUGAGAAUAAGGAUCGGCUAACUCCGUGCCAGCCGCUGC
This 502-nucleotide ribosomal RNA is filed under the name uncultured bacterium. RNAcentral describes it as "bacterial SSU rRNA". It matches the Rfam family "Bacterial small subunit ribosomal RNA", at positions 24 to 518 of the family's 1533-position model. The record is from RNAcentral.